This 409-nucleotide transfer-messenger RNA is filed under the name Porphyromonadaceae. RNAcentral describes it as "Porphyromonas sp018127745 Standard tmRNA". It matches the Rfam family "transfer-messenger RNA". Rfam says of the family: Bacterial tmRNA, also known as 10Sa RNA or SsrA, is named for its dual tRNA and mRNA-like properties. Its role is to liberate the mRNA from a stalled ribosome. To accomplish this part of the tmRNA is used as a reading frame that ends in a translation stop signal. RNAcentral also lists the same sequence under 1 other name. The record is from RNAcentral. Lineage: Bacteria; Pseudomonadati; Bacteroidota; Bacteroidia; Bacteroidales.
GGGGAUGUCUUGGCUUUGACAGCAUGACGAAGUGAUGUGUAAGCAUGUAGUGCGCUCUCCUGUCAGCACUAUAAUCUCGAUGAGAGAACCUUUUUAACUGGCGAAAAUAACUACGCUCUCGCUGCGUAACCGAAGAACAGUAGGUUAACUGCUUAAUCACGACUAAGAUUGUCGUGACGAGACAUCACCCAGGUAGCCCUUUGCCCCGAGGCGACUUGAUACGGUGGUGCCGGAAAAUCGGAGCUCGCUCUGCGAAGGCCCUUGGCGCAGAGUCAGAUUUAGAGGGCUAAGGUGCAGCUUUGGUGGCCUCUGCCGCUUGCUGUGCCCGACAAUUGAUCAGAGGCUAAACAUGUAGAAAGCAGAUUAGUUCCAUGUUUGGACCGGGGUUCGACUCCCCGCAUCUCCACAG